GAUAACUGACUUGUCGCAGACAAGCGUUUCUAGUGACGCUGCUUCUGAUUCUUUAGUGUCGGCUCUUCCUGUCAUUGCGAAAUAAAAGUCGCCAGUUUUUGAAUUAUUCUCCCACUAAUUGGGAGCGUGAGCUGGGAUUUGACCGUCGUGAGACAAUUC
Molecule: non-coding RNA, 159 nt
Filed under: Plasmopara halstedii
Lineage: Eukaryota; Oomycota; Peronosporomycetes; Peronosporales; Peronosporaceae
Description: Eukaryotic large subunit ribosomal RNA
Rfam family: Eukaryotic large subunit ribosomal RNA
Source: Rfam by way of RNAcentral